RNAcentral lists this long non-coding RNA (880 nucleotides) under Fragaria vesca (wild strawberry). RNAcentral describes it as "long non-coding RNA (FVES_LNC000352)". Lineage: Eukaryota; Viridiplantae; Streptophyta; Magnoliopsida; Rosales; Rosaceae. The record is from RNAcentral.
GAUCGUCUGAUCGUCCAUAACCAUGGUUACUAGCUAGUCUUCUUCAAACCUGUGAUGAAAAUCAUAUGAAAUAAUACUGAAAUAAUAAGGAGAGAGUUGUAUUAAUUUCCAUGCAAUAUCAAUUGUGUUAAUUAAACAGUGUACCCAGUUUGUUUCCUUUUGUGUAUUCUUAAGGAAUCUAUAAACAAAGAAUAAUUGCCUUUUCUUUUCCUCUUAAUAUUGUUGUUGUGAUCUGUUCAACUAGAACUGUGGUUCGGGUUUUUUAAGUACACCAAACAUAUAUAUGAAUGUAGAUAUAUAGGCCUUCAACUAGUCUUAUCAAACAGAUAUUAAUCAACUUGUAACGAGUAAAAUGACCAAACAGAUAAAGAUAAUCUGGACUCUGGAAGUCCGGAGCAGUACAAAACUGAAACGAAAAUUAAUUACCAAAUUAUACCUUGUUUAACAAACUACAUCGUGCAAAUACAGCAACCACAGAAAAGAAACCUACUUUGGGAAGAACCAUUGGUAGAGGUGACCACCGGUACUUCUUCUCUGUCUUGGCUUUAGACUUUCCCUGGUGUCAGUCAAGUUCCGUACGUAUGCAAAUGACCCAAGAAACAGUUCCUUUGCGCAAGUAGAAACCGAUGAUAAACCAAGUUCCAUUACAAAACAUGACUCUGUGACAUCGUGAACGUCCAACCGGCGCUGUGGAUCAGUUGUGCACUGCCACACCAUACCGUUCAAUGAUUCUUGUAGCUUCUGCUUUUGUAGCCAUCAACGUUUUGCUGUUCAUUUUGCUGCAAAUUCUUCUACAUCCUCCGUUAUGUUGAUUGAGCGCAAUGUCAGCUUGAAGAUCGAGCAUUAUCCUUGGCGACCUGCUAUAAUUGGUUAAACUUCU